ACAUGUACAAGUAGCCAGACCGAGGCCAAUAGCCAGACUAUGACUGAGACUGCCACAUUGAAAUAAUGAGUCAUCACACUCACAGUCUAGGUCCUGAACACCAGCAGCGCAUCUGGUAGUGGUCUGUAAUUAUUUCGACCUCGGUCAUCAAUACCAG
Long non-coding RNA from Lineus longissimus, 157 nucleotides. RefSeq lists it as uncharacterized. The transcript is spliced from 3 exons. The record is from RefSeq and is a predicted model, not a curated record. Lineage: Eukaryota; Metazoa; Nemertea; Pilidiophora; Heteronemertea; Lineidae.